RNAcentral lists this ribosomal RNA (531 nucleotides) under Triticum aestivum (bread wheat). Its description in RNAcentral is "partial small subunit ribosomal RNA". The record is from RNAcentral. Lineage: Eukaryota; Viridiplantae; Streptophyta; Magnoliopsida; Poales; Poaceae.
AUGUCGACUCACCUUUUUAUCCAGUCUUAUUGGAAUGACCUUCAAAUCACAAAGAAACCGAACUUGCAUCACAUUCCAUCGAGACAGCCCCGGCCGAGACAGUGGAUUCAGCCACCAGAGAACACAAUGAAGCUCGACGUGGAUGCGGCGGUGGCAUCACGGAGGGGAAUAGGAGCAGUGGGUGCAGUUUGCAGAGACAGGGGAGGCAGUUUCCAGGGUACCUCGGUGAUCGUUUUCAGAGGUAUAAUCGACCCCACUACGCUGGAGGCGUUAGCGGUGAGGGAAGCAAUGGCACUCGCGGAAGAUUUGAACGUCUCUGCCAUACAGGUGGCCUCAGACUGUUCGGUGGUAAUAGAUGACAUCAAGAGAAAUAGUGGAGCAGAAUAUGGAGCAAUCGUGCAAGAGAUUAGAGAGUAUGCUAAGUCUUUUGUUUUAUGUAAUUUUGUUCAUGAGUUUAGGAGCUCGAAUUUCGAAGCUCAUAAUCUAGUGAGACAUGCACUGCGACGGGGCCUGGCCGCCAUGUUUGGUUAG